RNAcentral lists this unclassified non-coding RNA (2161 nucleotides) under Hevea brasiliensis (rubber tree). Lineage: Eukaryota; Viridiplantae; Streptophyta; Magnoliopsida; Malpighiales; Euphorbiaceae. The record is from RNAcentral.
GCAACAGAAAGUAUCUCUCCACAUCUCCCAUUAGAGAAGGGUGCAGACAAACUUUUUUCUGAGGUCCAAACAAGCAAAGCAUCAUAAGAUUCUCCUUUUGUUGACGAAAUCACAACUACAAUAAGAUAAUACUAAGAUGGAGAAUCCUAUCUGUUCUAUGGCAUCACUCUCUCCUCAGAAAAUACAUUAAAAAUCAAAAGCCGAUCUUUUUUUGUCUUGCCAGCCAUCCAUAACUGACCACCCAUACCAGUAUGGGCUCUAAUUUGCAUCAUCACUUAUAUUUCCCCAAAAAAACCAAAACUAUUGACUCAUGUCAGAUCCAUUCUUUCCCCACUCCUCUACACAUUAUGGACCCACCUUCCUAUGCUUUUUCAUUGUUGCCAACAGUUGCACCAUCUGAAACUGGUUUCACGUCCACAACAGGAAGUUUGAUCUUUGGGGAAAGUUUUUUCGCUUCCUCAGCUGUAUAGACGUAAAUUUUUCUAACCAUGCUGCAGAAUUCAUGCCAUGGGUCGUCUCCAACCAUCAUCAUGUCAUCCUCGUCAUCUGUGUAGACUACCUGCCAUUUCUUGGUUGAUCCACGAAGUUCACCUUCAAUCUCGAACAUCACCUCCAAUUUCUUAAGCAGAUCUUCAUAACUAUCUAAUCUUGUGAGAUCAACUGCCCUCCCAACUGCCUUCCCUUGCAUAUGCACCUUAGUGCAACUCCGGAUUUGUUUGCUUUGAGACUCGUGGGUAGACCUCAGAGAUGACUUUUCAGGUUCACAGCUUACUGAAGGAAUUGGAUUUGAUGGUUCUGAGUUUCGGUCAGAAUCAACAUUUAAAGAUGGAACUGGCUGAUCCUCCACUACAGCACUUGGCAUAGCAACCGAUGAGGAUUCAUCUAUGGUUGGGCAAUCCAGCAACUCAAUACCAAAUAACCUACAUCCAUUAGCUGGUCUCUUUUCACUAGCAGGUGCAACAGACUCGGUACAUGUCUCUGAUUGACUUGACCAGUACAUUGUUUUGGUAGAAAGAGGCAUGGAACCAUUCUCACCAUAACCCAGGCCCUUUGCAGCAGAAGAAAGUUUGGGUGAAGGAUAGAGAUCUCGCCCACGAGAUGGAUCACAGUAUGAGAAUGAUGAAGGAGAAUCUACAGGAGACUUCCACAUUCCUAAAGCAGGAAGUUCUUGCACUGGCGACGGUAAAACUGAUGGUCGAGCACGCUUAUUUCUUUGAGGAGGCUGGGUGUUUGUAGGUGUUGCUGCGACAAGUGGUUCCAUAUCCCAUGGAGAAACCCUAUCUGGACGCAAAAUUGAUGAUGGUUCAUCCCAGUGUACCUUCAAAGAUCUCCAUUCAGAAUCAGGCCAUCUAGAUGACGGGUUAUCACCAACACCAACAAUUGUUCCACUAAACCUUCUUUCUGGAACUUCCUCACCCUCAAAUCUCAUUUUAAACCUCAUCCCAACAGAGAGCUUGUGAUUUCGUGCUUCAAGAUAUUUGUUCACACUGACAAUGAAUUCUGACUGACUAGUCCUAGGCUUAUAGAACACAGAGAAGAGGGUCCCAGUCAUGAUGGCAUGAGAUGCAGUUGCAAGAACACCCAGAUGCAUGCUGUGACUUGAAAUCACAGAAGAUGGCAUAUUAUUUAACUGUCUCAUGAGUCUCCUAACACCAACUCGAAGCUCCCCACUGUCUCCCCUGAGAAAUAUGAAAGCAUCACCAGCAACCAACUUCUUUGCACUGACAAAAACACUCCACCCAGUUGUUAGCAAGUGUCGCCUAGGUUGACCUCGAAAAAUGUGGCGAAAGUGCCAUUCAUUGCCAUGUAGAUCACUGGCGACCAAUUCCUGCCAUGGUGGUUGCUGUGACAUAUCCAGUGGAGGCAAACAUUCAUCUGCAUGCCUUCGGAGAACAGAAAACCCACCAUGGGUGCUAGUAUCAGAUGCAGUAAGAGUUUUGCAAAACGAAUGGACAGUGCACUUUUCAGGUUCAGGGAGAGGGGGAUCAGGGCUUGUGAUCUCGCCUUGAUCUGGUUCAGGAAGCAGAGUUAUCUGUGCAUACACCUCAUCUGUCUCUGACUCAGCACGAAGUUGAACAUUCAUCACUUUGCAUAAAAUUUUAGCUGGCAAAUUGAAGGAAGGAAGGUGUUGGUCUACUCCCUGGUGUGUCGACGCUUCAAG